CCUACGGGAGGCAGCAGUCGGGAAUAUUGCGCAAUGGAGGAAACUCUGACGCAGUGACGCCGCGUAUAGGAAGAAGGUUUUCGGAUUGUAAACUAUUGUCGUUAGGGAAGAUAAAAGACUGUACCUGAGGAAUAAGCCACGGCUAACUACGUGCCAGCAGCCGCGGUAAUACGUAGGUGGCAAGCGUUAUCCGGAUUUAUUGGGUGUAAAGGGCGUGUAGGCGGGAGCGCAAGUCAGAUGUGAAAACUCAGGGCUCAACCCUGAGCCUGCAUUUGAAACUGUGUUUCUUGAGUGCUGGAGAGGCAAUCGGAAUUCCGUGUGUAGCGGUGAAAUGCGUAGAUAUACGGAGGAACACCAGUGGCGAAGGCGGAUUGCUGGACAGUAACUGACGCUGAGGCGCGAAAGCGUGGGGAGCAAACAGGAUUAGAUACCCCAGUAGUC
RNAcentral lists this ribosomal RNA (441 nucleotides) under uncultured bacterium. Its description in RNAcentral is "partial 16S ribosomal RNA". It matches the Rfam family "Bacterial small subunit ribosomal RNA", at positions 338 to 795 of the family's 1533-position model. The record is from RNAcentral.